Molecule: ribosomal RNA, 400 nt
Filed under: uncultured bacterium
Lineage: Bacteria
Description: bacterial SSU rRNA
Rfam family: Bacterial small subunit ribosomal RNA
Source: RNAcentral
GGGGAAUAUUGGACAAUGGGCGCAAGCCUGAUCCAGCCAUGCCGCGUGAGUGAUGACGGCCCUAGGGUUGUAAAGCUCUUUUACCUGGGAAGAUAAUGACGGUACCAGGGGAAUAAGCCCCGGCUAACUUCGUGCCAGCAGCCGCGGUAAUACGAAGGGGGCUAGCGUUGUUCGGAUUUACUGGGCGUAAAGCGCACGUAGGCGGACGCUUAAGUCAGGGGUGAAAUCCCGAGGCUCAACCUCGGAACUGCCUUUGAUACUGGGUGUCUUGAGUCCGGGAGAGGUGAGUGGAACUGCGAGUGUAGAGGUGAAAUUCGUAGAUAUUCGCAAGAACACCAGUGGCGAAGGCGGCUCACUGGCCCGGAACUGACGCUGAGGUGCGAAAGCGUGGGGAGCAAAC